This 265-nucleotide long non-coding RNA is filed under the name Rattus norvegicus (Norway rat). RNAcentral's name for it is "long non-coding RNA NONRATT031906". Lineage: Eukaryota; Metazoa; Chordata; Mammalia; Rodentia; Muridae. The record is from RNAcentral.
GAUUGUUUCAUACUUCCUAAAGCGACCGGGAGUUACCAUUAUGGUCUUGUCCAAUAGGCAGCCUAAAAAGGACCAGCCUACACCCAAAAGGUGAAAAGAAGCAAUGUGCCUAAGGACAAGAUAUGAAGGUGCCCCUUCAGUGAGGUGUCAGUCAGCUAAGCUGGCCUUGGCGCUUUUGCAGCUAGACCACGUUGUGGCUUCUUGUCUACUCCUGAUGUCUUCUUCCUGCCGUGAUUGCUCCUGGGCUGGUUGGUCGACCACUUGA